Molecule: ribosomal RNA, 253 nt
Filed under: uncultured bacterium
Lineage: Bacteria
Description: partial 16S ribosomal RNA
Rfam family: Bacterial small subunit ribosomal RNA
Source: RNAcentral
UACGUAGGGGGCAAGCGUUGUCCGGAUUUACUGGGCGUAAAGAGCGUGUAGGCGACCACGCAGGUCCGUUGUGAAAGCUGGAGGCUCAACUUCCAGCCGUCGACGGAAACCGUGUGGCUAGAGUCCGGAAGAGGAGAGUGGAAUUCCUGGUGUAGCGGUGAAAUGCGCAGAUAUCAGGAAGAACACCAAUGGCGAAGGCAGCUCUCUGGGACGGUACUGACGCUGAGACGCGAAAGCGUGGGGAGCGAACAGG